CCUUAGAGUUUGAAUCCUGGCUCAGAUUGAACGCUGGCGGCAGGCCUAACACAUGCAAGUCGAGCGGAUGAGAGGAGCUUGCUCCUCGAUUCAGCGGCGGACGGGUGAGUAAUGCCUAGGAAUCUGCCUAGUAGUGGGGGACAACGUUUCGAAAGGAACGCUAAUACCGCAUACGUCCUACGGGAGAAAGUGGGGGAUCUUCGGACCUCACGCUAUUAGAUGAGCCUAGGUCGGAUUAGCUAGUUGGUAGGGUAAAGGCCUACCAAGGCGACGAUCCGUAACUGGUCUGAGAGGAUGAUCAGUCACACUGGAACUGAGACACGGUCCAGACUCCUACGGGAGGCAGCAGUGGGGAAUAUUGGACAAUGGGCGAAAGCCUGAUCCAGCCAUGCCGCGUGUGUGAAGAAGGCCCUCGGGUCGUAAAGCACUUUAAGUUGGGAGGAAGGGCUUGCAGCGAAUACCUGUGAGUUUUGACGUUACCGACAGAAUAAGCACCGGCUAACUUCGUGCCAGCAGCCGCGGUAAUACGAAGGGUGCAAGCGUUAAUCGGAAUUACUGGGCGUAAAGCGCGCGUAGGUGGCUUGAUAAGUUGGAUGUGAAAUCCCCGGGCUCAACCUGGGAACUGCAUCCAAAACUGUCUGGCUAGAGUGCGGUAGAGGGUAGUGGAAUUUCCAGUGUAGCGGUGAAAUGCGUAGAUAUUGGAAGGAACACCAGUGGCGAAGGCGACUACCUGGACUGACACUGACACUGAGGUGCGAAAGCGUGGGGAGCAAACAGGAUUAGAUACCCUGGUAGUCCACGCCGUAAACGAUGUCAACUAGCCGUUGGGAUCCUUGAGAUCUUAGUGGCGCAGCUACACGCAUUAAGUCGAACGGCCCCUGGGC
This 884-nucleotide ribosomal RNA is filed under the name uncultured Pseudomonas sp. RNAcentral describes it as "bacterial SSU rRNA". It matches the Rfam family "Bacterial small subunit ribosomal RNA", at positions 9 to 873 of the family's 1533-position model. The record is from RNAcentral. Lineage: Bacteria; Pseudomonadati; Pseudomonadota; Gammaproteobacteria; Pseudomonadales; Pseudomonadaceae.